This is an RNA transcript of Fragaria vesca subsp. vesca, 832 nucleotides long. It is a transcript of the gene named cysteine desulfurase 1, mitochondrial-like, with no coding region annotated. The record is from RefSeq and is a predicted model, not a curated record. Lineage: Eukaryota; Viridiplantae; Streptophyta; Magnoliopsida; Rosales; Rosaceae. The transcript has a single exon.
UCUCUCUCUCUCUCUCUCUCUCUUGAUAUCUACACCGUCACUCGGAGCAGUGCGUCGUCGCCGGCAAGCCACGAGGAGGAGCUCUGAUCUCCAACUCCAAGUAUCUUUAUGCCGUCUCGGUCCAACGUGCCUUUGCCGGCGAGCUAAUUUGCUUGAGCCUCGAGGAGAAGAUCCGAUCUCCAAGCAGCAGAGCUCCGAUCUCCGAUCUGCAAAACCAAAGGCGUUGGAGUCGCGCCGAGUGCCGCUCACGCAAUCGCCGAAUCUGUUACUGGUUUGUUUCCACAAAGCGAUGCGAGCCGAGCUUGCCGAUCUCCGUCUCGUCACCACGACCGCAUUAGAUUAUCAUUUGUCGUUUGCGUAUGUGGAGGGGGAGAGCUUGCUGAUGGGGUUGAAGGAGGUGGCGGUGUCGAGUGGGAGUGCUUGUACUAGUGCGAGUUUGGAGCCGUCGUAUGUGUUGAGGGCGUUGGGGGUGGAUGAGGACAUGGCGCAUACUUCGAUUAGGUUUGGGAUUGGGAGGUUUACGACUAAGGAGGAGAUUGACAGGGCCGUGAAGCUUACGGUGAAGCAGGUGAAGAAGCUGAGGGAGAUGAGUCCGCUUUAUGGUGAAGGAAGGGAUUAAUAUCAAGCAUAUUCAGUGGUUGCACCAUUGAGGGGUUGUGUAGUGGAGCAGUUAAUAUACAUAAUACAUGUGUACUGGUGAGCUGCGUCUUAUGGAGUGGAGAUGGAGAAUUCAAGGUUCAGUUUGCUAUCCUUGUUUGUAAUGCCUUUGACAACUCUCCUUAGUAACUCUAUAUCACUAAAUUUUGCAGACACAGUAUUUUUCUUUUCUAAU